RNAcentral lists this ribosomal RNA (233 nucleotides) under uncultured bacterium. RNAcentral's name for it is "partial 16S ribosomal RNA". It matches the Rfam family "Bacterial small subunit ribosomal RNA", at positions 523 to 755 of the family's 1533-position model. The record is from RNAcentral.
AUACGUAGGGAGCGAGCGUUGUCCGGAAUUACUGGGCGUAAAGGGUGCGUAGGCGGCAUGGCAAGUCAGAUGUGAAAUCCCCGGGCUUAACUCGGGGGGUGCAUUUGAAACUGCUGUGCUUGAGUGCAGGAGAGGAAAGCGGAAUUCCUAGUGUAGCGGUGAAAUGCGUAGAUAUUAGGAGGAACACCAGUGGCGAAGGCGGCUUUCUGGACUGUAACUGACACUGAGGCACG